RNAcentral lists this ribosomal RNA (253 nucleotides) under uncultured bacterium. Its description in RNAcentral is "partial 16S ribosomal RNA". It matches the Rfam family "Bacterial small subunit ribosomal RNA", at positions 524 to 776 of the family's 1533-position model. The record is from RNAcentral.
UACGUAGGGUGCAAGCGUUGUCCGGAAUUAUUGGGCGUAAAGAGCUCGUAGGCGGUUCGUCGCGUCGGCUGUGAAAUCCCGAGGCUCAACCUCGGGUCUGCAGUCGAUACGGGCGGACUGGAGUUCGGCAGGGGAGACUGGAAUUCCUGGUGUAGCGGUGAAAUGCGCAGAUAUCAGGAGGAACACCGGUGGCGAAGGCGGCUCUCUGGGACGGUACUGACGCUGAGACGCGAAAGCGUGGGGAGCGAACAGG